Molecule: ribosomal RNA, 227 nt
Filed under: uncultured bacterium
Lineage: Bacteria
Description: partial 16S ribosomal RNA
Rfam family: Bacterial small subunit ribosomal RNA
Source: RNAcentral
AGUAACGCGUGAGGAACCUGCCUCAAAGAGGGGGACAACAGUUGGAAACGACUGCUAAUACCGCAUAAGCCCACAGCUCGGCAUCGAGCAGGGGGAAAAGGAGUGAUCCGCUUUGAGAUGGCCUCGCGUCCGAUUAGCUAGUUGGUGAGGUAAUGGCCCACCAAGGCGACGAUCGGUAGCCGGACUGAGAGGUUGAACGGCCACAUUGGGACUGAGACACGGCCCAG